AUGCCGCGGUGAAUACGUUCCCGGGCCUUGUACACACCGCCCGUCACACCACGGGAGUUUGCAACACCCGAAGUCGGUGAGGUAACCGCAAGGAGCCAGCCGCCGAAGGUGGGGUAGAUGACUGGGGUGAAGUCGUAACAAGGUAUCCGUACCGGAAGGUGCGGAUGGAUCACCUCCUUUCU
RNAcentral lists this ribosomal RNA (182 nucleotides) under Brevibacillus brevis. Its description in RNAcentral is "partial 16S ribosomal RNA". It matches the Rfam family "Bacterial small subunit ribosomal RNA", at positions 1354 to 1533 of the family's 1533-position model. RNAcentral also lists the same sequence under 2 other names. Lineage: Bacteria; Bacillati; Bacillota; Bacilli; Caryophanales; Paenibacillaceae. The record is from RNAcentral.